Long non-coding RNA from Phyllostomus discolor (pale spear-nosed bat), 1467 nucleotides. RefSeq lists it as uncharacterized. The transcript is spliced from 2 exons. The record is from RefSeq and is a predicted model, not a curated record. Lineage: Eukaryota; Metazoa; Chordata; Mammalia; Chiroptera; Phyllostomidae.
GUGGGGGGAGAGAGGAGAGGCUGAGCGACCUGCGGGGCGGGCGGCGGGCGGGUGGGCGCUGGUCAGUGGGCGAGGGGCGCAGCGGGAGCUCCCUUCUCCAGGGAGAACAGGAGGCGGAACUCAGAGGGAGAGGACCACCACGCCCAGGCCCCGAGAGGGAGGUGGGGGGCCACCAAGAGGAAAACCUGAGGUGCUAGCUGACGUGCGUGGAGGGCGGGAGAGAACCGCUAGGCCCCAAGUGGGCCCGAAAGGGCCAAAACCGGCGCAGGGUGCGAGGGUUGUGGGGGCUUGUCCUGGCGGGGCCAGGGCAACUGUCUCCUAGGAGAAGGGGCGUUCCCGGCUGAAUCGACUCUCCAUGAGGACCAAUAGUAUUUGAAGGAAGGAAAGCGGAAGCAACCGGGGGGAAAGGGGGCGCUCAGCCACGAGUGGGUGCCCCCGAUAGCGGAGGGAAAAUCCUCCCGGUUGCAGCAGCGGCUGCUGGGAUCUAGUCUCCAGGUUGGAGCGGAUUAAACGCCCGGUUGUGCGCGGAGCGGACCUCGGGCGGGUGAACCCGCUCCAGCAGGGUCGGGGCCCCGGAGGCGGCCCCCAGCGGACAGCGCUGCGCACGAAGAUCGGGCAAAUAACUGACAGGACGAGGCCCCCGGAGAGGGAAGGGCAGACCAGGCGACGCCCACAGGCAGGCAGGAGGGCGGGGGGCCAGUCUCCGUCGGCGGAGAACAGGGACCACUACCCACCGGCGGGGAGCUGGGGACUAGUGUAAGCCCAUAGAGAGAGGGGCGAGGCCCCGCCGGAGGGCAGCAGAGGGGCGAGCCGAGCCCCGCCGGUCUCCAGGAAACUAGGCACAGAACGAGUUAGUGGCCGGAGCUGCGCCCUGUUUCUGGGAAUCCAGCCCUGUCUCUACCCUGCUGUUGGUACGGAGAUGGAAACGGCCUCUGCUCACCACUCAGCCUCUCCCCUUCGCCUGUGUAUCUGUCCAUACAGGAGGAAGGGUGUGAUCUCCCCGCGCUCCUCACCGCCAUCCUGCACACGGAAUGCACCUGUGUGUACAGACCUACUCGAAUGAGGCGCGCUCAGAGCCGCCAUCUUCUCAACUAUGCUUCACUGUCAGCCAAUCAAGAAGGAGAUGUCACGUGACUCACAGAGGUUCGCUGGAUUCCUGGAGAUUUGAACUUCCUCUGCCCCUACCUGGCUUCCAUUUCCUUGACAGACCCAUUUCCUUGACCUUCCCCGCCCCUGUCACCUCAGCCAUGCACUGCCAGGCUCACACAACUGGUCCACCUUGAGAUUUUAAGUUCCGACCCCCCACUCUCCAAACAGAACCUGCUUCUCUCUUGCUCUCACAGUCUAAUGCCUACUAUAUCCAUUUUUUUCAGUGUUAGGGAGCGUUUCACUCCCUUCGGCCCGUUCAUCUUCUCCCUGUUGACCAUGCGAUGGAUCCCCAAUCCCUGUGACCCAACCAUCUGAGAC